CCUACGGGUGGCAGCAGUUAAGAAUCUUGCACAAUGGGCGCAAGCCUGAUGCAGCGACGCCGCGUGAAUGAUGAAGGCCUUCGGGUUGUAAAGUUCAGUAAGCAGGGAAGAAUAAGUCCGGGGUAAUAUUCCGGAUGAUGACGGUACCUGCCUAAAGCCCCGGCUAACUACGUGCCAGCAGCCGCGGUAAUACGUAUGGGGCAAGCGUUGUUCGGAAUUAUUGGGCGUGAAGGGCGCCUAGGCGGGGGGUGAAAGCUAUGGGCUCAACCCAUAAAUUGCAAUUAAGACUGGUUCUCUUGAGUUCGGGAGAGGAGAGCGGAAUUCCAGGUGUAGCGGUGAAAUGCGUAGAUAUCUGGAAGAACACCAGUGGCGAAGGCGGCUCUCUGGCCUAGAACUGACGCUGAAGCGCGAAAGCGUGGGGAGCGAACAGGAUUAGAUACCCCAGUAGUC
Molecule: ribosomal RNA, 450 nt
Filed under: uncultured bacterium
Lineage: Bacteria
Description: partial 16S ribosomal RNA
Rfam family: Bacterial small subunit ribosomal RNA
Source: RNAcentral